RNAcentral lists this ribosomal RNA (465 nucleotides) under uncultured bacterium. RNAcentral's name for it is "partial 16S ribosomal RNA". It matches the Rfam family "Bacterial small subunit ribosomal RNA", at positions 339 to 795 of the family's 1533-position model. The record is from RNAcentral.
CUACGGGAUGCACCAGUGGGGAAUAUUGGACAAUGGGGGAAACCCUGAUCCAGCAAUGCCGCGUGUGUGAAGAAGGCCUGCGGGUUGUAAAGCACUUUCGGUUGGGAGGACUGCUUCUAGCACUAAUAUUGUUGGAAGUUGACGUUACCUUCAGAAGAAGCACCGGCUAACUCCGUGCCAGCAGCCGCGGUAAUACGGAAGGUGCAAGCGUUAAUCGGAAUUACUGGGCGUAAAGCGCGCGUAGGCGGCUAGAUCAGUCGGGUGUGAAAGCCCCGGGCUUAACCUGGGAACUGCAUCCGAUACUGUCUAGCUUGAGUACAGGAGAGGAGAGUGGAAUUCCACAUGUAGCGGUGAAAUGCGUAGAUAUGUGGAGGAACACCAAUGGCGAAGGCAGCUCUCUGGCCUGAUACUGACGCUGAGGUGCGAAAGCGUGGGGAGCAAACAGGAUUAGAUACCCCUGUAGUC